CACCAGCGUUACUUUCCGUAUCUCCAAUGUUGGAAACAGUUUCUCCGUUGCCACCAGCACUAGCACCAGGGUUAGUUCGAGCACUACCACUGCUAGAUUUUGAGCCACCAGCGUUUUUUUCGGUUCCUCCGUUGCCACCAGCAUUAGCACCAGGGUUAGUUCCGGCUUUACCACUGCUAGGUUUUGAGCCACCAACGUUUUUUUCGGUUUCUCCGUUGCCACCAGCACUAGCACCAGGGUUAGUUCCAGCACUACCACUGCUAGGUUUUGAGCCACCAGCAUUUUUUUCGGUUUCUCCGUUGCCAACAGCACUAGCACCAGGGUUAGUUCCGGCACUACCACUACUAGGUUUUGAGCCACCAGCGUUUUUUUCGGUUUCUCUGGUGCCAUCAGCACCAGGGUUAGUUCCGGCACUACCAAUGCUACCAGAAUCACUUCCGAUGCCAC
RNAcentral lists this long non-coding RNA (447 nucleotides) under Arabidopsis thaliana (thale cress). Its description in RNAcentral is "long non-coding RNA (ATHA_LNC000582)". The record is from RNAcentral. Lineage: Eukaryota; Viridiplantae; Streptophyta; Magnoliopsida; Brassicales; Brassicaceae.